AUUGAUUUUAUUAAUAUAAUUUUAUUUAAAUAGAAAUUUUAUAAAAAUAAUUUAAUUAUUAUUUGUUUUAGUAUUAAGUAAAAAUGAAUUUAUAGUUUUAUAGUUUAAUAGUAUUGUGAAAGAAAUUUUUAAAUUUUGAUAAGAAUUUUUAAAUGAGUACCUUUUGUAUCAGGGUUAAUUAAAAUUUUUAAUAUAAAUUUAAAUUCUCAAAAUUUAUAGAGUUAAUUUUAUUAUUAAUUUAUUGUUUUAUAAAUAUUUAGAAAAUAAUAUUGGUUUUGAAAUUUAAUUCGUUAUAUUAUAUUUAGUUAUUUAAGAGUUUAAUUUAAUUUAGAAUUUUAAAAGUUAUUUGUUAAUUUAUUAAUGAUAUAUUUUAAUUUUUAAUUAUUUUAGGGAUAAGCUUGAAAUUUUUAUAUAAUAAUUUUUAAUGAAAAUAAUAUUUAGGAAUAGAAAUUUUUAUAAUUAAGUUUGUAAAAAUUUAUUAUUUAAUUUAAUUUAAUUUAUUAUAAAAUUAUUUAUUUAUUUAUAUUAAAUUAUAUAAAUUAAUAAUUUAUUUAUAGAAAUAAUGAUUAAAUUAGUAUAAUUAAUUAUUUAUAAAUUAUGAAUUUGGCAAUUUUUAUUUUCAUCUGUUUAACAAAAACAUAGUAUUAAGAUUUAUUUAAUAUAAAAUCUGCUCAAUGAUUUAUUUAAAUAGCUGCAGUAUUUUGACUGUGCAAAGGUAGCAUAAUAAUUAGUCUUUUAAUUGAGGACUUGAAUGAAAGAUUUGAUGAAAAAUAAACUUUAUUAUUUAUAAAAUUAAAAUUUUAUUUUUAAGUAAAAAAGCUUAAAUAUUUUAAAGGGACGAUAAGACCCUAUAAAACUUUAUAAUUAAAAUUAUUAGAAUUUUUGGGGUAUUAAAAUUUUAAUAUUUAUUAAUUAUUUUAUUGGGGUGAUAAAAAAAAUUAUUUAACUUUUUUUAAAUUUUAACAUUAAUUAAUGAUUAAUUGAAUUAAAAAUUUUAAUUAUAGGAAAAAGUUACUUUAGGGAUAACAGCGUAAUUAUUUUUUUAAGUUCAAAUUUAAAAAUUAGUUUGCGACCUCGAUGUUGAAUUAAGAUUAUUCUUAGGUGCAAAAUUUUAAGUUAUAGGUCUGUUCGACCUUUAAAUUCUUACAUGAUUUGAGUUCAGACCGGUGUAAGCCAGGUUGGUUUCUAUCUUUUAAAUAUUAAAUUAUUUUAGUACGAAAGGAUUAAAUAAUUAAAUUAUAUUUUUAUAAAUGAAUUAAAAUAAAUUA
RNAcentral lists this ribosomal RNA (1268 nucleotides) under Nurudea shiraii. RNAcentral's name for it is "16S ribosomal RNA". The record is from RNAcentral. Lineage: Eukaryota; Metazoa; Arthropoda; Insecta; Hemiptera; Aphididae.